Molecule: ribosomal RNA, 527 nt
Filed under: uncultured Caldilinea sp.
Lineage: Bacteria; Bacillati; Chloroflexota; Caldilineae; Caldilineales; Caldilineaceae
Description: bacterial SSU rRNA
Rfam family: Bacterial small subunit ribosomal RNA
Source: RNAcentral
UGAGGAAUAUUCGGCAAUGGGGGCAACCCUGACCGAGCAACGCCGCGUGGAGGAUGACGGUUUUUGGAUUGUAAACUCCUUUUCUCAGGGAAGAGUGAGGACGGUACCUGAGGAAUAAGUCACGGCUAACUACGUGCCAGCAGCCGCGGUAAUACGUAGGUGGCAAGCGUUAUCCGGAAUUACUGGGCGUAAAGCGCACGCAGGUGGUUUGCUAAGAUUGACGUGAAAGCGCCUGGCUUAACUGGGCGAGGUCGUUGAUGACUGGCAGACUUGAGGCGAGGAGAGGGGUGUAGAAUUCCCGGUGUAGUGGUGGAAUGCGUAGAUAUCGGGAGGAAUACCAGUGGCGAAAGCGGCACCCUGGCCUUGGCCUGACGCUCAGGUGCGAAAGCGUGGGGAGCGAACGGGAUUAGAUACCCCGGUAGUCCACGCUGUAAACGAUGAACACUAGGUGUAGGUGGUGUCAAAACCAUCGGUACCGAAGCCAACGCGAUAAGUGUUCCGCCUGGGGAGUACGACCGCAAGGUUAA